CCUGAUAUAUGCAAAAAAGUUGAUCUUUUCCGAAAUGCUGGUUUUUCUAAAUUGUAUGAUUUCUCUUUCAGCAUUUGUAACGCGGUUUACAUCUGCAACGAAUAAACACUUAAUCAAUAUAGGCAGGGACUGCAUUACUAAUGUACCGGUAGGCAAUUGGACAUGAAAAGCUGCUUCCAAAGAUGGAAAUAAUGGCGACCGCCUGUGCUCGAUUAGCAAUGGUAUGAACCUAUGGUAACGACAAUCGGAACUGCGAUCACUGCUGGAUUCGUUGUGUUUGCAUCGCAGUGCUAAUGUGGACGUUUGCAUCUCAGCCUUUGUCCGGUUAUAGACGCCAUGUUCUCUUUCAGGAGCCUCACUUUCACGGUAGUCUGAAACCAUAGGAAAAUAUUUGGUCGCCAUUUUGUUGUCUACUUCAAGGGUCAUUGUGAGGGUUUUUAGUUUUUCCACACAUCCUUCGGGAUGGGGGAAACGAAAAUUAUCUAUCAUAUAGAUGACGAGGAUACCCCCUACUUAAUAAAACUCCCUGUUCCUGCGGAUCGGGUAACGCUCGGGGAUUUUAAAAAUGCGCUCAACCGACCAAACUACAAGUUUUUCUUCAAAUCUAUGGAUGAUGAUUUCGGGGUGGUGAAAGAAGAAAUAAUUGAUGACGAUGCCAGACUGCCCUGCUUUAAUGGAAGAGUUGUUUCCUGGCUUGUUCCUGCUGAGAGUAGUGCUUCAGACACACAGUCUCAGUCAGGAGAUGUCCAUAUGCCAACAGAACGAGUAGGAGGUAUUGGAGACAGCCGCCCACCUUCCUUUCAUGCAAAUGCCUCAGUAGUCAGUCGAGAUGAACCUUGUGAUACCUGCACAGAAUCUGAGUCUGUUCUAAGUGGAGCCAGGCGUGUUCCAGCUCGCAUCAAUGGGCACUCAAAACAUGAGCGACAUCACCAUCAUCGACCUGAACGAGGCCACUAUGAGACAUCCACCAUGAUGAGCAGCGACUUAGAGACAACUAGUUUCUUUGACUCAGAGGAUGAUACAGCCAGCAGGUUCUCAACAGUGACAGAUACAACAACCAGCAUGGCCUCAAAGUAUGGCCGUCACAGACGCAGGCGGCGGCGACAUCGACCGCCCCCAAUCAGUAGGGUGGGUAUUAACAAGGCAUCGUCUUUCAGCAGUAUCACUGAUUCUACCAUGUCUCUAAACAUUAUCACUGUCACCUUAAACAUGGAUACAGUCAAUUUCCUAGGUAUCAGCAUUGUGGGCCAGAGCAACAAGGGUGGAGAUGGUGGCAUAUAUGUAGGAUCCAUCAUGAAAGGGGGAGCAGUGGCCCAAGAUGGACGAGUGGAGCCAGGUGAUAUGAUUUUGGAGGUCAAUGGCAUCAGCUUUGAGAACAUGAGUAACGAUGAUGCUGUCAAGACACUCAGGGAAGCCGUCCAAAAACCUGGUCCCAUCACGCUGGUUGUAGCCAAGUGUUGGGAUCCAAACCCAAAAGGUUACUUCACAGUGCCAAGGCAAGAACCAGUACGGCCUAUUGAUCCAUCAGCAUGGGUUGCACACACAACAGCACUCAGAGAGCAGUAUAUGGGGCGCAGUGGUCCAAGUGCUCCCUCCAUUUCCAACAUGACCUCUACUAGUUCCUCCCUUACUAGUUCUAUACCUGAGUCAGAAAGAUUCGAUGAUCUCAACCUGACAAUAAAUACAGACAUGGCAACAGUGGUCAAAGCUAUGGCACAGCCUGAUUCAGGACUGGAAAUUCGAGACCGCAUGUGGCUCAAAAUUACAAUACCAAAUGCUUUCAUAGGGGCUGAUCUGGUAGAUUGGCUGUUUACCCAUGUAGAGGGUUUUGCUGAUAGAAGAGAUGCUCGUAAAUAUGCCUGCAAUUUAUUAAAGUCUGGUUAUAUUCGGCAUACAGUCAACAAACUUACCUUUUCUGAGCAGUGCUAUUACGUCUUUGGAGACUAUUAUGGUGGUCCACCUGUGUACCCAGAUUUAAGUGCUAUGAGCUUAGAAGAUGUUGAUUCUGUGUCGGAGGCUGACCGCGACACUUUAGCACCACUGCCUCCUCCAGCAUGGAAUAAUCAGUAUCCCUACUCUUCUGCGUCGUUCCUGCCACACAACUUAGCCUACAUCCCUCCUCAUGCAUACACCUCUGCUGACUCCAAUAGCUAUGUCGGAAGCUUUGUAGAUGGUGCCACGCCACUGCCAGCUCCACCAUCAGUAACCGGAGGCGGUGGGAAUGGGAGCGCUGGGAGUGUGCAUAGUACUUCAGUCACCACAAAAGACUGUACUUGUUUAAUCACGACGUACAAUCAGUUACGCAAACUGUGGGAGAACAAGGAAAAGCAAAAUGAGCUGUCAAAGAUGGCCUCUCAGCACAACAGUGGUGCCCCCUAUUUGCCAUCAGGGGAACUCCCUCACCUGCAUGCCAGCAUGCGUGGUUCCAACUGUAGUUUAGGUUGGUUUACACUAGCUGCUUCCCACUUUUAUUUAACAUACCCCAUGUGCAACCUUUCCAAAACAAAUUUUUCUCAGCAUAAUGUCCAUUCCUUUGCAGUAGUUUCUAGUAUUCAUGGAAGGGUUGAUCCUGUAAACCUUGCUUUAAGCUGUUAUCCCUUCAUUUUGCUUGUUGGUUGGGUCUGCAUCACUUUAAAACAAGUAGAUAUCUGUGCCUUUCUGCCUCCCUCUUCUUUUCUUGAAGAGAGUAAAAAAAUUCACAAAGAUAGGAUCCAUACAUAAAAUACAUAUAGCAGAUUCACUCAUCUUUUUUUAAAAAAAGUAGAUUGUAGUCAUAAAAAAUUUUGGACAUUUAUUAUAAUGGUCUUUUUGGUUUGUUUGUUUGUUUGUUUUUAAAGCAAAGGUAUUAUUCACAAAUUCUUAAUUGCAUUUUUUGUUUACAUUUUAACAACAUAAUCAUUAACUAGAAUUGAAAAAAAGUUAUGCAUAAUUAAAUAAAAUGUAAUUAGUUUUUGUUUUUUUGUGUGUUUCUUUUUGUUAUAAUGGUAGAUUUUCUUAGCAGAAACUUAAUGUUCACAUAUUUUAUUGUCUAGAUAACUAGACCAUCUUGCUGCCUCAUUUUUCUUGACCACUUGAUCUCAGUAAUGAUCCACCAUGAUCACCAUUAUCAACAAUAGUACCUUUUUGAGGACAUUUUUUCACUUGCUUUAUGAUUGCUCACAUGGAUUUGAAUCAUUGCUAAUUUUACAGUUUAAAGAAAAGUUUUAGUGAUUUUGAAUAUACAUAUCUACAUAUAAACACAAUAACAGUCAUAAGACAUUUUUAAUAUCACCAUAUUUUGAACAUUGUGUAAGUAAAAUGAAGGGAAAAAUUCAUUUAAAACAAAAGAAUCAAAGUUAGUUUAUUUUUAAAUUAAUCAAUCGGGGUUGUGAUUAAAAAAUGCUUCCCCAUCCUACAGUUAAAUCUUUACCAUUUGGUCUUGUAUGCUGGCCUGCAUGUGUGUUGUGUUGAGGUGGCUGAAAUUAACCCAUCAGUUACUCAAUUUACUGCUAAUGAUGAUACAUUUUGCAAACUCUAACUUCAGAUUCUGUUGUUGCUGCUCAUCAACCAUGCCUACUGUGACAGUAACGUUUAUAUGUUGCAGUAGUAAAACAAUAGAAACAUUUUUAAGUGACUGAGACCAGACCUGCUGUGUUUUGAACUAAUGCAUUUGUCUCUUGCAGCAUUUAAUUCUCCAGUGUGCUCUGGCAUCUUGACUUGUCCCUUUAUACCUUGCUGUCCAGCACUUUGGCAAUCACCCGCUAUUUUCUUUUGCUGCUUAUUGAGUGCAUGAGCAUGUAAAAAUCUUAUUUUGCUGAAUUAUAUUGGAAAAACAAAGGCUAAGUUAAUACAUUUUCUUUUCUUCUCAGAAGCCAGCUUGUUCCUAUUUGCUAGUGAGGUUUUUUCCUGAAAACAAAGCAACAAACCAUUUAUAAUAAAUAUGCUUUUCAGUAACUAAAAAAAAAGAAGAAAUAAUAAGGAUGUUUUUCCCAGCAUAAUGGACAUAAUCCAUCAGGUAUAUUCCUGGAAACUUGGUUUCCUUCUGCCUGAGAUGUGAUGAGUUAUAAAUGAAAUCUUUCAUAGCUUUUCAAACUGAAAAGAAACCCUGACCCUCAGGAUAAGAGUUCCAUUUAUUAUUGCAGUUAUAAAGUCUAUGGCGUUUAUAUUAUGCAGAAGUGAGUGCAGCUCAUUUGUUGGAAGGGGGAAAUGGUUUACUCAAGAUUCUCUUUUUGUUUUCUUUUCGCUUCAAAAAGCCUUGCCUUUUCUAAGUGACAAUUGUUUAUUGCCAUAUUCUUCCUGAUCAACACAAAAGAUUUAAAAAUGAUUAUUCUUAAAGCAGCUGCAUAGUCAGCAAACUGUUCUGUUACUGUAGCCCAGCAGUUCUCAACCUUUUACUUGUGACGCCCCUCUGACGAACAAAAGUACGUCCGCACCCCCCCCUCCCUCUUAGCCAGUAAUGUAAGCUAAUUUCAGUAAUACUGGUAUAAGAAACUUUUAAAAAAUGACCAUCUUCGCGCCCCCUUGUAAGCACGUCGCGCCCCUCUGGGGGGGUCGCGCCCCACCGUUUGAGAACCGUGGCUGUAGCCUGUGGUGGGCAUUACUUUGUUCAAUCCCAGCUUGUUUUAUCCCUUGUAGGUUUGGAUUGGAGAGUCAGCAUAAACUGAUUUUCAUACUAGCCAGAACAACUGUCUGUUGAUGAAAGAUAUUAGCUAAACUAACUGCAGUGAUAUUAUGAAUAAAGGUAAUUUCUUUCUAAAGAAAGUUAAAAGUGAUUGGAAGCAUGGAUCUAAAAUCUGACCUUGGUAUCAGAUUUGCUGGGAAGUCAUCAGUUGUGUAUACAAAUGUAUCUGGAUUGUAAGGCUUUUGUAAGAUUCUUGUCUGCUCAUUCAAGAACAAAAUGUUAAUGUACAGUGAAGGGUAUUUGAACAUUGGAAGUAAUAUUAAUCAGUCCAUCUCCAAAAUGUAAAAUGCUAGUUGCAAAUUUUUUAUUUAAUCUUCCUUAUUCCAGCAUACAGAAAAAUUAUGAUUUGUGCAUGCAUAUCGAAAGCACAAAUCUAAUUUAUUGUUAACAAUUUGUUUUUAAAGAUUUUAAUAGUGAAGAACUGUCAGAAAAAUCCUUCUCAGGUAGUACCUUUGCCUGAGCACAAUGUAAACAACACAAGGAGUUUGGAGAGAGAUAAAGAAGGCAAAGAUUGUCCUUGGUGUAUCUGUUGAUCUGGAAGAACAUGGCAAGGCUUUUGCAGAAUAGUAUGAGCUUUUGUGGAUGACUGUGAGAUGACUUGGGAUUUUUUGCCAGUACACAAUGCAUGCCUCUGCGUUCCUCUGCCAACCAAGUGGCCUUCACGUUGGGCCACUGAGCGGCUUCUGUCUAAAACCCUCUGCUAUGAUCACCCUGAGCCCAACAACAACAGCAGAAAGGCCUCCGUGCAGGUUAAAGCCUCGCAGGUGGCAGUGGCGUCUGCUUCCUCUGUCACUUCUAAGUUGGUGCCAGGAAGCAGCCAUUCAGGGAGCAGCAAGAAAGAAGGAAAAGAGAAAGGAGAACGCAAAUCUGUUUCCCCAAUGGGAAGUGGCAGUGACUCAGAUGCAGC
RNAcentral lists this unclassified non-coding RNA (5567 nucleotides) under Pomacea canaliculata. Its description in RNAcentral is "segment polarity protein dishevelled homolog DVL-3- like, transcript variant X6". The record is from RNAcentral. Lineage: Eukaryota; Metazoa; Mollusca; Gastropoda; Architaenioglossa; Ampullariidae.